Molecule: long non-coding RNA, 901 nt
Organism: Microtus ochrogaster (prairie vole)
Lineage: Eukaryota; Metazoa; Chordata; Mammalia; Rodentia; Cricetidae
Exons: 4
Source: RefSeq, a predicted model, not a curated record
UGCCUUUCUCCCUCCCUCCUUCUUCCUUCCUUCCUUCUUUCCUUCCAAGCCUGGAACUCCCAGACCUUUACCUCUAAAGCUCUGGGAUAGUAAGUAUGUGACCCUCCACCCUUGGCAGUUUUCCUGGCAUCUUUUUCUCUCCUUCAUGUGCUUGUGUGAAAUCUACCUGGCAACUUGUGAUGUCACACAGCCCACGAUCUAAUCCUCCUGGCAAGUGGCACCGUGAGCCAACACCGUGAAAUCCGGAAACCAGUGACUUAGCUCAGCCCACACUGAGCCAGAGUUCCCUGGUACCCGGGGUCUUCUCGGGCAAGCGCGGGCCAGCGCGGGCCAGAGGGAAGUAAGGGCUCCCUGCGCGAGCUGCAGGUCACCGGGCUGUGGCGCCCUGGGUCUCACGGCCACCUCCGCUGACCACCCGGGUCGCGUGCCCUGCUCAGACGCCAGCCUUCCUCCUUGGGGGCCGGGCCGCACCCCUCGAGGCGCUCUUCCUGUCCGCCAAGGUCCAACCGGACCGGACCGGACCGCUAAAGGGAAGCUGUCGGCGGGGCUGUCUCCGAAGACCCACAAACGGACCCCAGAUUUAUCUACAGCAGGUACAGACGCUCGCAGCAGACUGUAGCUUCAACUCCAGGAGAUCUGACCUCCACAGGAACGGUGCCAAGAACUGGUAGGAGGCAUCCAGAUGCUCACAGGACACAGACGGAGCACAAGGAAGAAAACCAUUUCUGCAGUGUGCUGGAGUAGCCCAAACCGCUUAGCCAGGGGGCCAGCUGCUUCCAGGCCUGGAUAUUGUCCUUCCAUAGCCACUGUCCAAUGAUCAUCUCUAUGUACAACAGGGGGAUCCCCACCAGCAGCAGCAGGAUGAGCACCAAUCUACUUCAAGAAGAAGAUGGGCAUUGAA